UGGAAUCAGCCAAAUCAAUAGAGAACAAAGUGUUUGAAAUUGAAUUAAGAACAGUGUUAAAAACAGCCUCACCAAUAUCAAAAACCUCACCUUUGUUGCUUUUUUCAUUCACAUAAUCCAAUAAUUCUUGCAACUUUUGUUGGCGAAGGUUUUUUGUUGAGUCAAGCAUUUUUUUAGAAAAUACAUUUGUGGCACAACUUUUCCUUAGUUUCUUCCAUAAAGCUAAUGUUGGAAGCCACCCAAUUGAGAAUUUGUCAUGAUCAACUGCACUAAGUGCAUGUGGAACAGUUCUAUUAGAGAAGAUUUGGGAAUUUUCAUGUAAGGCUUGUUUGGCUACUUGUGGAGAUGAAAUUACUAUGGUUGUUAUUGUUCCUAGUUUUAGUGUCAUGAUUGGUCCAUAGUUUUGUGAGAGUUUUGUGAGUGCCUUAUGUGGGUUUUUGCCAAGUUCUAAGAUGUUUCCUAUGAUGGGAAGUGGGUAUGGCCCUGGUGGAAGUUUAGUAGAAUUUUGGGUUUGGAUUAAUUUUCUAAGAAUGAAGAUGAGAAUGGUUGUACACAAAGAGGUAAUCACUAGUAGAAGUGUUUGGUACUCCAUGGCUUAUUGUUUUUGGCUUUUCUUUUACAUGUAUAUAUUUAUAAGAAAAAAAGAGCACUGAUAGGGUGUGAUAUGAGGAUAGAUACGGUUCCAGUAGUUAUAGUGCUAAGGAGAUUGGAAGGAGUAUGGGUUGUAUGAUUGGAAUAAACAAUGGAAUAAUGAUCUUCAACUACUGAAACACAGUCUCAUCAUUAGAUAAAAGAUGAUUUGAACAAGUGUUUAUACGUAAAGGUAAUGGUCAUCUUAAAAUCCAGUUUUAUGAGUUGUGUUAAACUCAAAACACAAAUUUCAAAUUCUUCAAGAUCCACAUGUUAGGUCACCUAGCAUAUAUAUUUAAGCAGCAAAGCAGUAGUCUUGCGUGUGAGGUCGACAAAGAAGAUAGAAGAAGAGUCACACAUAUCAACUUAAAUAUGUGUUUUUGUUAUUGUUUGUGCCAUAGGAAUGAGAGGUUGGUGAAGCGACAACACAUUGCCCUUUAACAAUAAAUUUAAGGCUAAUUUUUUUUUUCUCUAACUAUUUAAUUGGUAUUAGAUUGGUCCUCUAACUAAAAAUUGAUUUAUUUCAGUUCUCUAAGUUUCUCACCGUUACUAUAUUUAGUCAUUUCUGUUAGUUUUAUUCAAAUAAACGUUAGGGUUUGUGUUAUGUGGGUCCUCUAACUUUAUUUAUUAGUAUCAUUUUGGUCAUAUGACUAGUUAAGGUAUUAUGAUUAAAUAGUGACUGAUAUUAUUAAUAACUUUUAUGGUUCAUAUGUAUCUGUGAAACAGGAGGUCAAGUACCCACAUAACACAAACUCUAACGUUUAUUUGAAUAAAAUUAACAGAAAUGACUAAAUGUAGUAACGGUGAGAAACUUAGAGAAUCGAAAUAAAUCAAUUUUUAAUUAGAGGGUAAAUCUGAUACCAAUUAAAUAGUUAGAUGAUCAAAUGUAAUUAAGUCUAAAUUUAAUAUGAGAAGCAUAUAGAAGUCCUUGCAUUUUAAUCAUGUUGUCUUUUUGUAGGUAUGUUAUGUCUAGCGGUGAGAAAGAUAUAAUAAAGAAAUAUAAAGACAUUUAAAUUUAAUUGGUCAGUUUGAAAUAAAAUUGAUUUGACUGGAAGAUUUUGUUUCAUCUCUUGAUUUUGAUCUUCAGAGAUUUUUUAGUCAUAUUUCAUUGCCAUAAGCUUUUUACUUAGAAAUCGGAGAGUCUAUUUUGUCUAAAGUCUAAAUUCUUCUUCAUAGAGUUCUGGGGCUGCUUGUAAUAAGUAGAUUUUUCCAGUUUUUUUAGCUCAUUUUUGAACAAAUGGAUAGACGACACAUAUCAAAUAAUGUUAUUUUUUAUUUUUAAUAUAAAGCACUAUCUUUUUAAUUUUUUUAAUUUUAGUCAUACAUAUAUCAAAUGCCUCGAUCUGUCGAUGGGUUGCUACCCAAGGUGUUGCCAAAAGGUCACCGCUUGUGAGGCAGGGGGUUUUGUUUGAAACUCAAUCGUGGGGUAAGUUUCAUAAUCAAAAAGUGAGACAACAUAAAAAUAAUGAAAUUUUUGCAGUAUAUGGUUCACAAUUGAAUACUUCAUCCGGUCCUAUUUAUGAAAAAAAUUGAAAUUUUAGAUUCAUUUUGUUUAGAAUAUAGAUCAAAUAUACUAUUUAUGCAAUGAAUCAAAAAAGUCAAAUGUUUUUUAUAAAUAGAAUCGGAAAGAGUAUCGAUGAAGGUGGCACGAUUAAGACAUUCUCGGAGUUGGAGGCAGGUUGAAAACAUGUGUUACUAUUUUAUAAUUAAAUAUAAAAACAUAAAUGAAAAUAGAAUUUACUUUGAGAAAAUAUUUUUUAUUUUUAUAUCUUAAAAUUUAUGUUAGUUUUAUUGAUCAACAAUGAGAAAAUAUAUUAUUUAAGUGAACAAUUGUCUUGGUAUACUUUUAAAGGAUGAAAAUACCAAAAAGUUAUUUUCAUUAUUUACAAGGGUGGAUCAUCCCUAACUAUGAUUUUACUCUUUUUUGUUUAUUUGAAGGGAACUAUCAUUUUACCUUCUCUAUGUAUAAAAAAAAUGCUAACAAGUAUCGUCAACGCAAUUAACGUACUUCCUCCGGUCUCGAAUGUAAGAAACAAAACAAAAAAAUUGUUGAUCUCAAAUGUAAGCAAAAGUAUACAAAAGUUAUUCUAUUAAAUAUUACUAUUCCAAUUUUAACCUCAUUUAUUUUAUCCAAUUUGUUUCACAUUCCCAUGUUUAACGCAUUCCAAAGAUUUUUCAUUGGUGGAAUUCAAAAGUCAUGUUUCCAAGACAAGGGCAUAACAGGAAAAAUGGUAUUUUUUACAAUGACUCAAUCCACUUUCUUAAUAUUUGUGAUAUUUUUUUUAUUUCUUACAUUCAAGACCGGAGGGAGUAUUUGUUAAAAAGUUUAAAGAAUAAAUUUUGUUUUAGAAAUGAUGCAUUUAAUGUAUUGAAAUUUUAAAAAGUAAUUUUUUUAAAAAAAACUUAUCAAUUAUUUUUAUUUUGAAUCCUUAACAAUAUCUUAAUGACACUUGUUAGCAAGACCCAUAAAUAAAUAAAUAAAACUAGUAUAUUAUUAUCUAUUUUUAAAAUAAAAAACAUAAGCAGCCUACAGAGCUAUUGGAUCAACGUGCUUUUCGAUAUGAGUUUGAAUAUAAUGCAUGUAUGACGACCACAUAGGUUCUAAUUCAUCGUUACUGAAUGACUGCCUGUACCAUCAUUGUUUAUUAAGAAAUGGUAGUGACUAUGGUUUUAAAUUGCAGUAUCUAACUUCUAUAAAGGAAAUGCAGUCUAUUAACAAUUUUAGAGGUCUUUGACAAUGACACCUCAACCAAAACAAAAUUAACCUAAAGAAAAAUAAAGGGAUACAGAGACCAAGGGUAUUAGACAUAACCUAGAUAUAACCUAAACGGGAUAUAUCGUGGAAAAUCAUACCAAGUUGUUGGGUCAAUAAGGGGAGUCAGGAGGACCGUCCACAUCGAGGCCCGAACAACCACACUUGCAAGAGAGACGCCACACUCUUACCCAAAAUCUUAAGGCAAUGGGUUUAUGGGGUUCUCUUACUUAUAAGGUGUUCACUCCCUCUCAAGUGUGAGUCCAUCUAUUCAUCAUGCUCCUCCUUUCAAGCGGAAGCCCUUGCUUGUAACGUCGUUGCUGGUUUCUCCAGCAAAUGGACCGACACUGCUUGUACCGUCGUUGCUGCUUUCUGCGCAAUGGACCGACUGCCUCGGUCGUACCCUUCGUCGAAUCAGGCUCUGAUACCAGUGUUGGUUCAUUGAAGGGAUCGUCCACAUCGAGGCUAGAAUAACCACACAAGCAAGAGAGACACCACACUCUUACCCCAAAACCUUAAGGCUCUGUUUGGAUUGAUGGAACAUAAUGGAGCGGAGUGGAAUGGAACGGAAUGGAAUGGAGCGGAAUGGAAUGGGAUGGAGCAGAGAGUCCAUUCCACUGUUUGGGUAUUUUAUGAUGGAGCGGAAUGCAUUUUCCAUUCCAUUGUUUGGAAAGUUGACGGAAUGGAAUAAAUUAUAACUUUUUAUUCCAUUUUUACCCUUGCUUAAAAUAUAAUCUUCUAUUAAAUUUUGUUGUUUCUAAUAUGUUGAAUAUUUAAAAUGUAUAUCAAAUAUUACUGCAAUAUUUUAUCAUCUAAAUUGUACUUUAUAAAACAUUUUUUUCAUCUAAGUUGUACUUAUAAAACAUAUCAUUGUCUCUUGCAAAAAAAUAUCAUUGUUUUACUGUACUAUAUAUUAAAAUGGAUUUCAUAAUAUGAUCACAUAUUUUUAGAAAAUAAACGUUUUUAUUUAUUUUUUGAAUAAAAGAACGAAAAUUAGUUCUGAUAUAAAUUUUAUACCUUUUCAAUAAGUAGAACUAAAAAAAAAAAAAGAUUUCUCUAAAUCGAAAGGUUUAUUUUAGUUUGAUAAUGGAAGCCAUAUAAAAAUAAUUUAAUAUAUUCUAAUCAACGUUAGUGUUUGAUUUUUAGUUUUUUUUGAAUUGUACGUGUUCCUAGUGAAAGCAAAUUAAAAGAUAGCCACGCAUAAGGUACGUUGAAGAACCGAAGAUGAACAAAGUUGUAAAGCUGAAGAAGAAGAAAUUUAAUGAAGAGGUUGUAUUUGUAAUUUAAUCAUUCAAUAAAUAAAGUUAUUAGUGGUUCCAUUCCAUUCCACCCAAAUUGGAGGGUAGCCAAAAUGUAAGUAAGUAAUGGAAUAUGAUGGAAUGAAUGCCAUUGGGUUCCAUUCCAUUCCAUCCUUUUAAUGACAAUCCAAACAAUGGAACAGUAAUUUAUUCCAUCCCAUUCCAUCUCAAACCACCAAUCCAAACAUAGCCUAAGGCAAUGGGUUUAUGGGUCCUCUUACUUAUAAGGUGUUCAGCUUUUACUUUUCUAUCCGAUGUGAGACAUAUAACUCACACUUGCACACAACACAAGUAAACCAACCCUAAUUUAUACUAACAAAAAUCCACUUAUCAUGAGCGCAACCCAUUGGCUUGUGAUAUGACAUUGUGCUUCUCCUCAAGGUCCCAUGUUGAUUCUUUCCGGUGUCAAUUUGGAUAAUCUAGUUUAACUUCUUAAAAAAAAAAAUCCUAGAGAACUCAUGUACGGGAGUGAAACCAAGUUACAAAAAAUAUGAUAAGGGAACAUUGCAAAGAACAAAUAGGGUUUCAGUUUAGCGAAUGGAUCGACCACCAACACGAUAUAAAAAUCCAUGUGCCAAACUCUCUGAACGCAACAACAAGCAUAAAAGCUCUUUCAAGCAUUAAUACAUCAUGGUGGAGGUAUACAUGACGCCUUGAAGCAUGCAUAUCUUAACAACUCUGAAAGAUCAGAGAAACAAAGAUGUCAGACCACCAAACACAUGUUUUAAUCAGAUGCGUAAGAACACAGAUCGAGGGAUGAGUCCAAUACGUUAGUAACCAAAUAGACAUUUUGUGGUUAAUAGAACCACCAACAGAGAAGAUCCAUCAAACACGAACAAGACCAACAAAUCUGCAAAAAGAAAUAAAAAAACCCAAAGACCAGCCAAAAUAAGUGAUGAUCCGAGGACCUCCAACGAUGGAACUUGCACGAAACCUCUAGUAGACACAAACAUAAUCCAAAACAAACCAGCUCGAAACUAGCAGCUUUGGAUCAACGAGCUAUGAUCCAGCACCAAAACUCAAACCUAGAUCCGAGUUCCAAGAUCUAGAUUGAAAUCAACAACCUCCUUGUUCCAUACAAACGGCGGUGAAACUACAAUAAUUGUCUGCAUUUUACCACAAUAUUAUGUUUGUAGCGAAAUUACAACUGAUUCUGUAAUUUCUCUAAGAGGUUGAAAUAGCUUGAACUCGAAGAGGUUGAACCCUCUUUAAUGUUAACCCAAAUUGCUCUUCUAUAUUCAUGUCUUCUGGUUUUAAUCCAUCAACAAAUGUCCAUUCAAAAUUGCGUAGAAGGGAUGUCACAAUUAAAUGCACUACCCUAUGAGCCAAUGGCAAUCAUGGAAAAAUUCUUUUGCCUGCCCCAAAGGGUAUAAGUUCAAAAUUAUUACCCUUAUAAUUAAUGUCACACUCCAAAAAUCUUUGAGGUAUGAAUACAUUUGGAUUUGCCCAAACGGUUGGGUCUCUUCCCAUGGCCUACACAUUGACUAAUAUUUGUGCAUUUUUCGACACAUUGAAACCUAAUACUCCCUCCGGUCUCAAAUGUAAGAAACAAAACAAAAAAAUUGUUGGUCUCAAAUGUAAGCAAAAGUAUACAAAAGUCAUCCUAUUAAAUGUUACUAUUCCAAUUUUAACCUCAUUUACUUUAUCCAAUUUGUUUCACAUUCUCAUGUUUAACGCAUUCCAAAGAUUUUUCAUUGGUGGAAUUCAAAAGUCAUGUUUCCAAGACAAGGGCAUAACAGGAAAAAUGAUAUUUUUUAUAAUGACUCAAUCCACUUUCUUAAUAUGUGUGAUAUUUUUUUUGUUUCUUACAUUUAAGACCGGAGGGAGUAUGUUCACAAUUUCAUCACUUUAUUGGGUACCAAAAAUGGAGCUGGUGGGUGCAACCGAAGAGUUUCCUUCACAACCGCUUGUAAAAAAGGCAACUUAAAUGUAUGUGAUUCUUCAAUUGUUUCAUCUUUACCAAUUGCUUCACAUAACUCUUUUCUUGGUUUUUUUUAAUGUGUUUGGGUUACAUAGUAGCUCUGCCAUAACCCACUCAAUCGUCCUUGAUGAUGUGUCAAUCCCGGCAACAAAUAAAUCAUAACAAAACACCAAUUCACAAAUUCAAUUAAAUUUAUCCCACGGUAUUAGCAAAAGGUGAGGAUUAAAGAUUAAAUGAUGCAAAUAAAAUAAGACAGUGAAAAAUAUGAAAUAAAGUUUAUUGAUUCAAAUUGCAUAUCAACGAAUAUAUCACUAAACCACUUGAGUUAGCUUGAUGGUGUUGUCUUAAGAUAUAAGAGUGUGCUACUCCUCAAGAUUUCAGGUUCGAUUCUUUCCGGUGUUAAGGUUCAAUUCUUCCUGGUGUCAAUUUGGGUUGUCCAAUUUACCUUCUUUAGAAGAAAAAGAAAAGAAUAUAUCAGUAACUUUUUGUGAGUAAACCAAUUUUUUUUUUUUGUAUGCAACCAAAGUUACCUCUCAAUUGUUUAUUGAUGUACCACCUUGUAUUAACGACUUAUUAUCUAAUAAAAUAAAUCGAAUUUAUUUUCCUUAUUAUUAUUUUUUUGUACCUUUUAAAGAGGUCUCAAUAAUCGGAGGUUAACCAAGAACCAAGUAAAGUCUACUAAAUAAUUGUUUUAAUUAGAAUUUAAAUUCAAUUUUACCAAACGAUAUUAAAAAAAAAUGGCUUUGAGGUUAGAUGUUGUAUAACCCACUGAUAGUGGAAUGGAGAGAUCAUUCUCUCCUUAAUAAUAGAUCAUUGGAAAUUGUAAAUUGUAGGAACGAAUAUAAUUAAUUGUAAAUUGUAUAAUACAAAAAAAAUUACUCUAAUAAUAUGUCAAAAUUAAACUCUUAUAAUUUUUGGAAAAAAAAUUAAUCAGUGGAAAAAAUAGUAAUUACUCAUUGGAAAACCAACACUAACCAGAAACAGACAUAACAUUUUAUUGCGACUCAAUUGCGAAGUAGUUUCGCCAAUAUUGUUGUUAUUGAGAAGUGAAUCUAACCCAUCAUUGCAAACCUCAUCAGCUUUGGAAGCUCUUGAACAAAUUCUUUCUUCAAUAAUUCCAUAAAAAAUAUCACAUAACUUCUUCAUGUAACUGGUCAUCUUUGCAUGCACACCUUGUGGAUCAAAGGGACGAAGAAUUGGAAAGAAAUCUGAAACAUUAGGCUUACCAGCUUUUUCCAUGAUACCCCAAAUAAUGUUUUCAAACUCUUUAGACUUCAUCAUGUGUUAAAUGAGCCAAAUCAAUAGAGAACAAAGUGUUUGAAAUUGAAUUAAAGAAAGUUGUAAAAACAGCAUCACCAAUAUCAAAAACUUCACCUUUGUAGCCUUUUUCUUUCACAUAAUCCAAUUAAUUCUUUUAACUUUUGAUUGGUCGGUUUGAAUUCAAAAUAUUAAUUUGACUGUAAGUUUUGGUUUGUAAGUCAUAUUUUAUGGCCAUAAAAAUGAUUUGGCAAAAACUCUAGUUAGUUUUUUUUAUGCUUUUCACGGUAAAAAAUAUUGGUCAGUUUGAAAUCAAAAUAUUUGGAAUGUCUAUUUUCAGAGUUCAAGUGCUGCUUGUAAUAAGUAUACUUUUCCAGUUUUUUCAUGAUCAAUUUAAUUUACUCUUGCCUUAGCUAAGUUUAUUUUUUCUUUCUUUGUAUGUAUUUUAUUUUUCUUAACAUAUAUAAUAUAUGGCCCCAUAAAUGUUAAUAUCAUGUAUUGUCAACAUAAUGAACUGUCUUGAAUACAAAAGAAACAGGAACAGUCAUUAGAAAUAGAAUACAAUAUUAAAGAAUUUUGAUAAACCAUAGAAAUAGAACAGAAUACAAUAAUACAUAGAAUACAUAGUAAAUAGCCAAUUGUCUUGCUAAAUUCAUUAUUCCUAUUUCUUUUGUCAACAUAAUGAAUUUUUCUUAACCAUAUAAAUCAAAAUUCAUAAUUUUUCUUAAUAUAUGGCCACAUAAAUGUUAAUAUCAUGUAUUUUUUUGAAUACAAAAGAAACAGGAACGUGUUUCUGCUAUAUGAUAUACCAUUUUGUAGCUCAAUUUAUCCUUCGUGGUUGAAUAUAGAUUGUAGUACUCAACAACUACAUAACAUUUUUAGAGGUCUGAGUGACUACACUACAAAUCAUAAUUGCAGUCACAUAGAUUGUAGCUGUGUGCAUUUUACCACAGUAUAUAGAUUUUAACUGUAAGUGCAACCCCAAUUGUGUUGAUAGUAGCCACAAUUUAAAUUCAUGGUAGUGACACAAUCACAAACAUUAAUUAAUUAUACUCGAAUUUUCACUUCAAACAUAUCCUCAAUCAGCACUGCCACGUGACCAAAGCCAUCCCAUGUUAGCAAAAAAGUGGAGCCAGAAACCUUUUUAAAACAAAAAAGAAUUUGCAGGGAUGUUUUUAAUUUUUUUUUACAAAGACGAAAAUCAAAACGCGUCCAAAUUACAAAAACGGAAUGCAUAUUUAAGCUUUUUACAAAUAAUUGACAAGUAGCAAAAAAAGAAAUGAUCACUUGAUAGUAAUUUCCCUUGCAAUUCAAUUUCUAAAGUCUAUAGUAGAUUAAUUUAAAAUAAUAAGUGCUACAAUACCACUACAUGUUCAAAUUGUCUCCUCCUUCACUAAUUUGUGUCUAUCCCUCUCUUAAUUUUAUUUUUUAUUCUUCUCUCUUAAUCUUCUCACUAAAAUAUAAUAAGAGAUAGAUAUAACUUGAAAGAGGAAAAAAAGAGAAUGAGGGAAAGGAGAGAUCUAAAUUUGCAAAUCUUGCAAUUAUAUGGAUUCUAGCUCUUCGUUAUAUUCAAUUAUUUAUCAUAGAAAGAUGUUUAUUACCCAAAUCAUUAGAUGGCUAUUACACCAUCACUUAUUAAGAAAUUACAGGGACCACAUGUUUAAAUUGCAGUAUACAACAACAAUACAGUUUUAAAGGUCUUACAAACAGCUACAUCCUUCGGUCACUAUUAUAACCAAAAAUCUACAUUUUAGAUUCAUUCAUUUAAUGAUGCACAUAAUUUUUAUUAUAGACCAUAUACAUCAUUAAAUGAAUGAACUCAAAAUAUUUUUUUUUACUUAUAUUAGUGAUCAGAGGGUGUACAUUGCAACCACCACAACAAUAUAUGCAAUAUAUCGAAUGCAUAUGUUUGCAUUUUAGCACGACAUAAAAGGUUUGAAAUGUAAUUGAAACCGUCCGCAACUUCAUGGCAGAUAUGUCAGGAUCACAAAGACGCAUUGUUAUUUUCCAAAAGCUAUAAUUUGUAACUUCAAUAAAAUCACGAUGGGUCGCCGUGAUUCUAACUUAUCCACCAUGAUACAAAACGUUCACAUUUAUCCUUCAAACAUAUCUACCUAUGCUGAUGAAAUAGCUUGAACUCGAAGAGAUUGGACCCUCUUUAAUGUUACCCCAAAUCGCUCAUCCAUACUCAUGUCUUCUGGAUUUAACCCAUCAGCAAGUGUCCAUUCAAAAUUGCGUAGAAGGGAUGCCACAAUUAAAUGCACACUCCUAUGAGCUAAUGGCAAUCCUGGGCAAAUUCUUUUGCCAGCCCCAAAUGGUAUAAGCUCAAAAUUGUUACCCUUAUAAUUAAUGUCACGCUCCAAAAAUCUUUCAGGCUCAAACUUAUUUGGAUUUUCCCAAAUAGUUGGAUCUCUUCCCAUGGCCCACACAUUGACUAAUACUUGUGCAUUUUUUGGCACAUUGAAGCCUGAUAUGUUCAAAUUUUCAUCACAUUUGUGGGGUAGCAAUAAUGGAGCUGCGGGGUGCAACCUAAAGGUUUCCUUCACCACUGCUUGUAAAAAUGGUAACAUGGAAAUAUGUGAUUCUUCAAUUGUUUCAUCUUUACCAAUUUCUUUACAUAACUCUUUUCUUGCUUUUGCUAAUUUUUCAGGAUUACCUAAUAGCUCUGCCAUGACCCACUCAAUGGUGCUUGAUGUAGUGUCGGUACCAGCCGUAAAUAAAUCCUAAUAUGGAAAAUUACUAUUAGCAAAACCUUGAAAGAAAAAUAUGAAAUUAAUAAACAAAUUUUAUUGAUGUAAAUGAAUAUCUAUAGAUUCACUUGCUGAUUUUUUCUAGAAAGUUAAAAUUGAAAUUUGUAUCAAAAUCGACUAAUAUCUAUUGUGGUCUAAACCAAAAGGAAAAAGAUAGGUAGACAUCUUUUUUCAUACACCUCUUAUGUACACCCCCAUAUGUUAAGGGUAUUUUAGUAAUUUUACAUCAUAUCAUCACCCUUUUUCAUCUCUUCUUUCAAUGUUUUUGCCACGUGUCGCAAAUGUGUGUGGGUGUAAAAGGGUGUAUGCCACCUAAGGUAGUUUAUGUAUAAGAGCUCAAACCAAAAAUAUCCGGAUAUCAAAUCAGUCAUAAUUGUUUUGGGAAUUUUUUUUUUUAUCUGUAUAAGAAAAAACCAAAAUCUGAUUUCUGGUCCAAACUAAAAAAUUGAUUUUAAUUCAACAGUCAAACUAAGGCAUUAUAGAAAAGAAAAAAAUAAAACUCAACAUCAAGGCUUAGUAGAAAAAUCAUGGGUCCACUACAGAGCAAAAUAUUCUAUGACGAUAUAUUAUUUUAGGAAAUUACACCCUCUUUUUUUUAGAGUUGCUUGAAUUAUCCUUCUCUUUUUUCUUAUGUUAAAAUAUAGAGUAAAUAACACUCUAAUUCUCUCAAAGAUGCUUGAAUUACACUCCCCUCUCCUCUUAUGUUAAAAUAUAUACUUUUCUCCCCUCUUUUUCAAAACAUAUUAAAAAAUAUUUCGCUCCCCACCCCUAAGAGAAACAUGAAUUACAUUCCCGUCCCCACUUAUGUUAAAAUCUACACUUUACUCCAUCAAUGUUUUUUUUUUUUAUUUCUAAUAAUCUAGCAAAAUAAUAAUAAUCUAACACACUUCGGGAAAAAAUAGAAUUGCGGUUCUAUUUUAAUAUAGUAAAAAUUUGAAUAUAUAUUUUUUGCUAUUUUUUAUUCAAAAUUUCAUUAACAUAUACUUUUAACCCAUAUUAUAAUAUAUGAAACAACCCAAAAUAAAAUUAAAAUAUGUGAAAAAUUACUAAAUACAAUAAAUUAUGGUUAUUUAAAAGUUAUUUUUAUGCUUUAAAUUAUAAAGUUAAUAGCGAAAAAUUUAAAUUUAAUUAUUAUUGGCAUUUAAAUUAUAUAUAAAUGAAUUUAUUUUUCUUAAAUGGUGGUUCAAAAUUAGUAUAUAUCAUAAAUAUAUUUAUUUAUGUUAAAAUAGAUUAAAGUGUAGUGCAUAUUUAUUUAUAAAGGGAUGAGUUUGUAAUUCAAGCAUCGUAUAAGGGAGGGGAGUAUACAUUUUAAUUUUCAAGGGAGGGGAGUGUAUAUUUUAACAUAAGAGGAGAUGAGAGUGUAAUUCAAGCAUCUUUUAGAGGAGGGGGUUGUAGUUUACUCUAAAAUAUAUACACUUUACUCUCUUGAAAAGUCAAUACCGUGAGUAAAUUAUAUCUUUCUUUCCUAUGAGAUGCCUGAAUUGCAACCCUCUACCUUAAUAAUUAAAGAUGCACUACACUUCAUUUCUUUUUAACAUCUUGAGAAGUCACAUAUUACAUCUUUUUUACAAGAAGACAUAUAUUAUAUCUUUAUCUCUGGUGGUAUAUCCAAAUACUCAUGUUUGUAUUUUAUAUUUGUCUGUUGUGUACUAAAUGCUUUGGCAUUUGCCAAUCGAUAAAUACCAAUAUUUAUUACUUUUAUAGUAUUAGGGCUUGACCUUUAAAAUUUAUGUUUCAAAACGAGAAAAUUGUGUGCAAUUCGUGCUAGGCAUGGCAAUGGGUGGGGUGCGGAUGGGUUUUGCUUUUCUCAUUCCCAUUAUACCCAUAUGGUCAUAUCCAACGGAAAUGAGAAAUUAAAUCUCAUCUCCGUCCUCAAUGAGUUUGGAUAUUUCCGCCCCAUCCCCGUCUCCAUAGUGAAUCAAUUUUUUUUUUAAUAAAAAAAGAAUUUUAUGAAGCUUCAAUGGUAAUGUUGUAAUGCAUUAUGUAAUCAUUUGCGCUCAUUUUAACAUUUCCUUAUCAAAAAAUUUGGUUGCUCCUUCAACUAUCAAUGAAUGUUCUUAUAUCAUGACAAUUAUCAAACUAAAUAACAUGACAUAUCAUUAUCAACCCCUCAAUAAAAACAAAAACAUGACAUUUCUACAUUCGGGUAGGGUUUGGGUAUGAGUUCGGGGUAGAUACAUAUAUUCCCGUUACCCGUCCCGUACCCGUAUUUUGAAAUCAGGGAGAACCCAAACCUAGACAAAUCGAGGAAAACUCAUCAAAUCGGGGUUGGUUUGGGCGGAUAUCCAUGGACACGGGUUUUGUUGCCAUGCCUAAUUCGUGCCAUAUAGCAUUUCAAAUAGUUAGAAAAGUCCCCUUGACAAAAAAAGAAGAAGAAGAAAGUCCAAAUGUAUGUAGUUUUUUUUGGUAGUGUAAAUGUAUGUAGUUGAAUUCGACCACUAGUUGCCAACACAAAUUUCUCUUCCCACUAACAAAUUAACUAUCAUACGCCAAUUUAAAAAAAAAAAAAAAUAGAAAAAUAACUAGAUUGUGAUUUAUGUAAUUCAGUUAUUAAAAAACAAAUACUAACCUGAAAUAAAUGCACCAUUUCAUUGCGGCUCAAUUUAUUAGUGGUUUCUUCAAUAUUGUAAUUAAGAAGUGAAUCUAACACAUCAUUGCACACCUUAGAAUCAGAAUUGGAAUCUCUUGAACUAAUUCUUUCUUCAAUUAUUCCAUCAAAAAUCUCACACAACUUUUUCAUAUGAUUGGUAAUCCUUGCGUGUAUUCUUUGUGGAUCAAAAGGACGAAGAAUUGGAAAGAAAUCUGAAACAUUAGGCUUACCAGCUUCUUCCAUGAUACCCCACAUAACGUUCUUAAAUUCUUGAGACUUUUCAUCAGGUGUUGAAUGAGCCAAAUCCAUAGAACACAAAGUGUUUGAAAUUGAAUUAAGGAUAGUUGUAAAAACAGCCGCACCAAUAUCAAAAAUCUCACCUUUCUUACUUUUUUCAUUCACAUAAUCUAAUAAUUCUUGCAACUUUUGUUGGCGAAGGAUUUUUGUUGAGUCAAGUACUUUUGUAGAAAAUACUUUUGUAGCACAAAAUUUCCUUAGUUUCUUCCAUGAAGCUAAUGUUGGAAGCAUCCCAAUUGAUAAUUUGUCAUGAUCAAGUGCACAAAGUGCAUGUGGGACAGUUCUAUUAGAGAAGAUUUGAGAAUUUUCAUGUAAAACUUGUUUGGCUAGUUGAGGUGAUGAGAUUACUAUGGUUGUUAAUGUUCCUAGUUUUAGUGUCAUAAUUGGUCCAUAGAUGUUUGAGAGAUUUGUGAGUGUCCUGUGUGGAUUUUUGCCAAGUUGUAAGAUGUUUCCUAUGAUGGGAAGUGGUUUUGGCCCUGGUGGAAGUUUUGUAGAAUUUUGAGUUUGGUUUAAUUUUUUAAAAAUGAAGAUGAGAAUGCUCGCACACAAAGAGGUAAUCACCAGUAGAAGUGUUUGGUAGUCCAUAGCUUAUUGUUUUUGCCUUUUUCUUUUAACACAUAUAUAAAUAGUAGAGCACCGAUAGAUUCGGUUCCAACACCGUCAGAAGUACGUAACAACCGGACCAAUGAUAUCUUAGGAAGAAAAAAAAAUCAUUGAUUAAAUCUCACAUGAAUACAAAAUAGGUACGUAAUAGUAUUAAAUAUAUUUACACCUCAGUCCUUAGAGAGAAAAAAAUUCAUUGACUAAAUCUCACAUGAAUACAAAAUAGAUAGUGCUAUUAAAUAUACUUACACCUCAUUUCUUAAAUAUAGGGUUAAUAGUGUUUUUCACCCCUGUAAUAUAUGUUAUUUCUGAUUUUCGUCCCUAUAAAAUUUUCAGUUUGAUUUGCACCUUCGUAAUUUUUUUUCUUCGGAAAACACCCCUAAUAAGCCAUUUUCAGAAUUUUUUUUCAAGAAAUUAUUGUUUUUGAAUGGCCUAUUAAGGGUGUUUUCCGGUAAAUAAAAUUUUUACGAGGGUGCAAAUCAAACCGAAAAUAUUAUUGGGGCGAAAACUGGAAAUGACAUAUAUUACAGGGGUGAAAAGCACUAUUAACCCUUAAAUAUAUAUAUAAAAAAAUCAUUGACUAAAUCUCACAUGAAUAAAAUAUAGGUACGUUAAAAAAUAGGUACGUAAUAGUAUUAAAUAUGGAGUAAAUAGUCAAUUCCCCCCUGAAAUUGUAAGUUUCGUCAAUUAUCCCUCUGAAAUUAACAAAACUUCAAUCACCCCCCUGAAAUUGCAUAACGUUAAUCAAUUUACCCCUCCGUCAGAUUUUUCUGUUAACUGUUUACGGUUAUGAUCAAAUACACCCCCUGAAAUUUUGCACUUAUGUGCAAAAUGCCCCAUAAACUUAAAAAUUUAGAUUUUUUUUCUUACCAAAAAUCAUACAUUUAGUUCUUCAAGUAGUAUAUUGUACCUAUUGUCAUAAAAAUUCUAUUCACAAGAAAAUGAAUGAAUAUAUGUCAAAGAAAUCAUGGUUUUGUCAUGUGCAGCCUUUUCAUUCAUAUUUCAUAUUUAUCAACAAGUCUUGUUUCUUCUUCCUUCUGCAGAUAUUAACCUAUGAAUUUUCUUGUUGGACACACAAUUAUCAAAGACUUGUGUACUUUAUGACUGCAUACUCUAACAUAACUAUCAACUUGUGUAAAAAAAAAAAAGUCUUUUAUACAUGUAUAUAUUUAAAACACAUGAGAGUAACAUACCUUCCAUAAAGAUUUAUCAGCAAUGCUAUAUGGUACGAAAAAAUGCACGUACGGAAAUAGACGAAUGCCCAACUUGUCCAAUUUUUAUGAAAUUAAAAACUGAUAUAGUAUGCUUUGACGGAAAUCAUGGGUAAUGGCUAAUAAAAAGCUUGGCAAUUAUAACAUGAGAAGUAUUGAAAACAACCAAUUUACAGAAUACAUGGCUGAAUGGCAAGCAAUAACUACUUUCGUUAAUUUUCGUGCUCACCGUCCCGUACUAUUUAUCAUUAUCCAAGAUUUAUAUGACCAAUAGUUGCAUAAACAUACAUUCCAUACAUAUUUAUAUGAUCAAUAAUUGUUAAUUUGUUUGUCUUUAAUAUCUUUUAAGUCAAGGAUAAAAAAAAUAAAUUUUUAAAGUUUAGGGGGCAUUUUGCACAUAAGUGCAAAAUUUCAGGGGGGGGUAUUUGAUCAUAACCGUAAACAGUUAACAGAAAAAUUUGACGGAGGGGGUAAAUUGAUUAACGUUAUGCAAUCUCAGGAGGGUAAUUGAAGUUUUGUUAAUUUCAGGAGGAUAAUUGACGAAACCUACAAUUUCAGGGGAAAAAUUGACUAUUUACUCAUUAAAUAUGCUAACAAGUGUAUAUGACUUCAACAUAUAUGAGAUUUAGUAACAAUUCAAAAUUGCAACUAAAUCAAAAACAAAUGUUACUAUUUAGAUCUUGUAACAUUUCACAAAUGUUAGGUAAAGCCCGUGUUACUAAAUGAUUUCAGUAACACUUGUGAGUUUACUUGUAACGCUUAAAAUGUUACUUACUAAGUAGCUAAUUUGUAGCAAAUCUAUAGCUAACAGUUUUAGGAGCAAUUGUAGCAAAUUUUGUUGCAUAAAUAUUACUGAAUGGUGAAGACUUUUCUUUUAUUUUAAAAUUUAAAAAUAUUAUUCAUCGUCGAGAGGAUGAAAGAUACACCAAAAACUCGCAGAAAGCAAUAGAAAAUUACAUAAAGGCACCAAAAAAAGGCGUCACGCCUAAGCUCCUAAAGAAUCAUGAGCCGAGGUGGUAUACACCAGCUGCCUAAUUACAAAGACCAAAUCCAGCAAUGUACCAAGACAAACCAAGGUACUACCACCAAAAGAAUACCCCUGCCUCCCAAUUCCCAAAAGUAUAGAUUAUCAUUUCUGUGGCACUGUUUUGCGCGCAAUUGAUUGGAAUUAGAAUGUUAACAAAACCAAGGGUGUUUUAUUAGUAGCUCAAUUCAAUACAAUUAUUAUCAUUUAUAUAAUGGGUCGCCAAAAAUAGCAUAAAUAAUCCUACGAUAAACCAGUUUUAUUAUUGCAUGCAUUAGCAGAUUCACUUAUAAGGUUUAUAAAGUUCACUUUAGUUAUACUUGUAGAAUAUUGGUCACUAGUUUAUACGGUUCACUUUAUUAAAAAAAAAAAAGUUUAAAAGAAUCACUUAUUUAUUUAGCAGUAGCAGCAGUAACUAUUUGUUCAACAUUAUUUAGCAGUAUAUCUAACUCAUUUAUUUUAUAUGGCUUGUGAAAAUGCUUUUUAUUCCAUCUUUUUCAUGCAAUUUCUUGUCGAUUAGUUUCAGCGUGGAUCAAUCAACUUUUGGUUUUUCGAAACUUUUCAAUCAAAAUACCAAUAAAAAAUAACCGUGAUAUUGCUAAAACAAAACUUUGCUCUAAAUAAAUAUUCCAAAUCAUGUGGGAAACUUCAGAAUGCAACAGAAAUAUUAGAGUUUAUACGUCUUACUACUUUAUUUGAAACUUCCACUAACAAAGUUUCAAAGAUAAGAAUUCAGUUAACUCUCCAUUUCACACCAUGUACCAAACAUUCUUAAAUCUUAAUCAUUAGUUAGAAGAACUAAUGCAGCCCUAGCUCAGGAGAAGUUCUAGGAAAGAGCUGGAAGUUGAAAUACUUGUAAAUUCAUUCAAACCCUUAUCUAUGCCAACGAGAAAGAAUGAGUGGUCACUUAUUUAAUCUCCAAAAUCAAAUUAUUUUAGUUUGAUUGCUUCCAAUUAUAUAUGCAAGUAGUUCAAUUGAAACAAUUACUUAUGUUUGUUUCUUGUAUUUUGAUAUUGUCUUAUGUGUACAGGUAAGUUGGUUUUAUUCUGGACGGAAAAAUUUGUUUUUCACUAUUUAAUUUAAUCAAUAAAUCUUAUUUAAUCUUAUGUAAUUUGGUUUCUACUUUCUAGUUUUAAGUUUUUACUCUUUUUGUUAUUACAUGCUUACCGUAAACAUCAAAUUAAGAUUAUGUAUGACUAAAAAUAAAUGGUAUUCGAUUCAUGAAUUCGUUCAAAUUGAUAGAGUACAUCGUUACAAUACAUAUUUACUAAAUAUAAAAAGGAUGAAUAUGCAAACAAACUCACAACAUCCAUGUGAAUAGAAUAAAAUGUCAAAGUACAUGAGCGUAGAAAUACGACUAUAAUUAAGUGUCUAGAAUGCCUAUGUCUCUGAAUGUGUAACGUUGAAGACACCAUACUCAUUGAUUGGUUAUGCACAAGAUCGAAGCUGAUCUGACAAGAACAAACAUCGUAAAUAGAUGGAAAAGAAAAAUAACAUCACAUAGAGACGGAAAAACAAACUAAGAUCGCACUACGACGACAAAAUCACGUAAGAAAAAACUAAAUAGAUGUGAAAAUUAUUUAUUUAAAUAAAAGAGAAUGAGAAAAAAUUAUUUAUUAUUAUAAUUAUUAUUAUUGUUAUCAUUCUUAGAGUUACUAACAGACAUUUUACAAUUGUCUCAUAUGUGAUUUGAACUAUUUCCUAAAAAAUGUUUAUUUGUGUUUUUCUAUAAUAGUAAAAUUAUUUGUUUUAUGUAGUCUCUCGUUUACCACAUUAAUUAAAAUCAGAUAUUUUGAAGAAAAAACAUACUAAAAGCAACGUAUCAUUUUAAUAAAAGUUUAUUUUUUUUAUUCAUUUUCAAAAGCUUAUUUUUUUACAAUUUUUUUCAAAAAGAAUGAUAUAAUAUAUAUAUAUGUGAAGUGAAUAUGUAGUAAUUAAUGUGACGAUUUAUAUAUAGCAAUUUUAAAUUAACUUUAUACAUUUUCAUUAAAUAUUGUUGAUAGGUCGAAAGAAAAAGAACACAAAAUUUGAAUACUUUAUGAAUUAUAGCAUUAAACUAUUAUUUAUUUUUUUGUAUAUAUAUUAACUUCACAAACCAUACAAAAAUCACUGCAUAGUCUCAAAAUGGAAGAACUGAAGAUGAUGAUUGAUAGUCUCAAAAUUCAAGAACUUAGAUAUGACGAAUUAAUAAAAUUGAAAGCACUCUUAUUGAAGCUCCGAAAGAUAGUGAUGGAUGAUAUCUCAAUCAGAAGAGGAGAGAUUGCUUCACAUGGUAAGGGAUAUGGUAUUAGAUAUAUAUGUUAUAGCUUUUAUUUAGUAGUAGUAGGAUAUCAAAUGAUUUAAUUCUUGCUUAUUGUUCUUAUUUUUAUGAGUAGAAAUCAAACUCAAUCAGGAUAUGUUUGCAAUACACAAAUACACUGCAUACUAAUUGAUCACUUUUGUUUGAUCAAAAUGGAUGUUUAUUUAGAGUGUGGAAGUUGUAAGAUAAUAUGAAAUACACACUAUUGAUCAUGGAAAAUAUUUAGUAGUAACGUGAUUUUGGACACAAUUUGUACACACGCGUAAAAAUGCAUAUGACAUAAUUAUUUGAGAAAUAAACAAUUUUUUUUUUUAUCUUUCUAUCUUUUUAUUUUAUUUUUGUAAGUAUGCCUAAAACUUGUGAUCACAUGUUUUUGAGAGAUGAUUUAUAAGUAAUGUUAGUUGCUCUCUCAAAUGACCAUGCUUAAUCUAUUUUCUCCUUUUCUUUACGUUGCAUAUCUUAUCUCCUUGUUUUUUAUACAUUUGAAUAUUUUAAUCAUGUAGGCAUGAAAGGAAAAUAUGUUGUUGCGGAGGAUACCCCAGCGAAUAACUCUCUUGUUUUGUUUUAGUCAAUAAUGUGGGUCCCAUUGAUGGGAUUCAAACUAUUAUAUGUUUUGGUUAAGUUGUGUUUGGUUAUGUUUAAUGUGUACCGGUACAUUGGUUUUGUACUAAGGACGAACAAGUUUGAUUUUUACUAUUCAAUUUAAUCAAUAAAUCUCAUUUAAUUUAUUUGUGAGAUUUAUUGAUUUAAUAGUAAAAAUAAACUUGUGCGUAAUGCAAAACAUAUCUCAUAUAUACAUCAUAAAAUAAAUUUUUAUUUGGUUAUAUUAUGUGAUUUGGUUUCUAGUUUUAAAUUUUUAAUAUUUUUGUUAUUAUUUUGAUGCUUACCAUAAUUAAACAUCAAAUCAAGAUUAUGUGUGAUUAAAAACCUCCAUCAAACAUAUUUUUCACAGACACGCAAUACAUUAUAUAUGCAUCAUCACCGUAAGAGUAAAUAGCUCCAUUAAAUAACAAUUGAUAAGCCACAUCCACUAAUAGACAUAGUGCAUUUGAGGCGUAUAACUCAGUUAGUUAGGGUUUCUUGGAUCAUAUGUUGAGACAUUGAUGAUAAAAUUGUGUCAUUUCUUUAUGAACAAAUUAAUGAUAUACAUUUAUUAAAUGAAAAUUUCAUGAAUAAAAAUGAAAACUAUGAUAUGAUUGAAACACAGCCUGUUGUAGUGUCAAUUCAUAUUAAUCACUUCAAAUGAAUAAUAUUCCAUAUGCAAUUUCACAAGUGUAUAUCCUCUAGAAAAAUUGUAAUUGAGUGCUUAGAUAUGGAGACAUUGGGAGAUUUAUGAUGAGUUGGAGAUAUCCAAACCAUGGUGUAUGAAUCGAAGAGAAGAGGUAGCCAGAUAAAUGAAAGUUAUUUUUUUUUUUUUUUGAGAUAAAUGAAAGUUAUUGAAAAUAUAACUUUUGAAUAAACAUGAAAAGAAUAAUGAUUAUUGAGUGAAGGUGUUUUGAAGAAGCGAAACAGUAGCCACAAAGAAGAGGGAAAUUAAAAGAGUUCAUAGUAGUGUGAGUGAAAGUGUGAGAGUUAACAUAGAUAUUUAAUUCUUAGUGUUAAAUUUAAAACUAGAGUUAGGGGUUGUUUUAUUAUCUAUUAAAACCUUAAGGGAGGUUAGUGUAGUUUUCUCAUCUUCUUUUAUUGGGAAAGAUGAUGAAACCAUUGAGGAAUCUCAUAUUUACAAGUUACCUUUCUUACAAGCAAUUGUGAAGAAAACUAUUGGAUUGCAUCCACCACCAGGUCCAUUAUUGAUAAUGUGAUGAAACUAUGAACAUUGUAGGCAUCAAUGUCUAGGCUAUGGGAAGAGAUCCCAUCAUUUGAAAAAAAUCUAAAUAUAUUCACGCCUGAAAGAUUUUUGGAGGAUGACAUUAAUUAUUAGGGUAUAAAAUUUAAUAUAUGAGAAAAUGAAUUGUGUAUAAACUAGUUUUAAACUGAUAUUAGAUAAGACCAUGUAUAAUGGGUUAUUGAAUCCUACAUUCAACAUGUUGAAGCCAUGCAAUGAGGGGUGUUGAAAGAAGGAAAAAUCUGAGUUGGAGGAGGGAAGUGUUGAAUUGAUUCAACUAGUUGAAAGCCUGGCCCAGAAGACACGUGGCGCGCUCGGAUUUGGCCAAAAAUGGCGCGUGCGUUACACGCGCCGACAGGGCGCGUGUGGGUUUGGUCCGCGGAGAGAGAAGACAGCAAUGGAUAGUGUAGUGGACACAUGGCAUUUUGUGAUUGGCUGCUUGGAUUUUUAUCUUCUUAAUAAUUUGGACUCAAUUAUUUUAUUGCAAAUAAUUUUUUUUUUUUUUUUUUUUUUACCAAAAUUCGUAAUUUUUUUUCUCUAUAAAUAGAGACUUGGAUCAUUUGAUUUGGACACAGAAAAAAAAUCAAGUUUUUCACUCUCUUAAUCUUAUUAUUAGCUUUGUAUUAGCCUUUCUUUUGAAGUUUUAGUGUUUAUUUAGUGAAAUGGGUCCCACUAACAAUCAAUUCAACACCCAAAAUUCUUCUGUUAAGUGUUUCUUUAUUUUAAUUUAAUUAUAAUCGUUAAUUGUAAUUUUAUGUAAUUAUAAAAACAAAAAUAUAAAAUUAAAUAAGAAUAAGAAAUAAAAGGUGGUGGGGUAGGGUGUUGAAUGAAAAAACUAUUGAAGAGUUAAAAUUAAAAGGGUGUUGAAUUAAGAGAGAGAAAAUGAUGUGGAGUGUUGGGAAUUAAAAAAGUGGAUGUUAAAGGUUGUUGAAUUUGGUUUACCAUUAUACAUGGUCUAAGGAUGAAAUAUUCGAUAGUUACUUUUUACUGCAAAAAAAUGAUUAUUAAAUAGACAUCUAUAACAGGCUUUUACCCACAGAUUUUGGAGGUCACUAUAGCCUAUAGUGCCGGAAUUUCUCUGUAGAACAAAAUUAAGUUUUACCUACGGAUUUGGGACAUAGGUUCAGUCCCUAAUAGAACUACAAAUUUUUAUGCCUAUGGAUUUGAGACGUAGGUAUAGAAUCUGAUGAGAACUACAACUGGUUAUUAUCUACACCUAUUUCCGUCACUACAGACUUCAGCGACACUAAUUAUUUCGUUGGUAUUUUAUUUGUAAUGUAUACUAAAAUAAAAUUUAUUUACAGUUGUGAUCAAGUAAGUUUUCCUCCUCAAUCAAUCCAAGGUGUUGCGACUAAAAGACUGCAUUUUCUUUCUAGUAGCAUCAUUCGUACAUGUUCAUAAAUAAACAAAACUUUAUCUUGAAACUAAAUAUGUCAAAGAAAUACUAUGGAAAGGGAAAUAAACCCAAGGUGUGGUCAAAAGGCCACACUGUGGUCUUUUAUUAUGAUAGGCAAUGGUUUUGAGUUUGAAAAUCAAUUUUGGGGUAAGAAGAAUGCCAAAGCAAGGAACAGAUUGAAAACAUCAUACAAUUUUAUUAUUAAACGCAAGAAUAUAAAAUAUAUUAAGUCAAACAUAACAUAGAGAUAGGUCACUUUGGUGUUAGUGGAGAUAGAUGCAGCCAAAAUAUUUGAAAAUUCAAACAUAUUUAAUUGACUUUAAAUUGUACAUAUAAUUAUGUUCAGAUUUAUAAAUGUUACUAUAUGCAUAUUUUGGUAUAAAUUAAUUGUAAGAUAGGACAAAGUGGCAAACCACAAGAAAGACAUAGCUCUUCAUUAAAAGUUUUCACGCUGCUACAUUAUAGCAACUAAUUAAAUUGAAAGAGACGCAUAUCAUCACCAUCAGACUCAGUUUAUGCACAUGUCAACAUGUGAAAAAUAAAAUUCUUGUUAUAAAAGCAUAAGCAUGUGGUUCAUGCACAACUAAUAAUAAUUGAAGUUGAAGUCCACGGAGAAUCAAACAUAACACUUCUACAAUGUCACUUUAUUAUGUUUGGAUUCUCUAGAGCGUCCAACACAGUUUUUGGAUGAAGGUGCUCUUAGAUCUGAAUUUGAAAACUAUGAUUGUGCAACAAUCACAGAAGAUGUUGUUAUAUGACUAUAACAACUGAAUAUAACAAUUUUAGUGAUCUCACCAAUGAUAUCAUGAUCGCAACUGCAACGAAAUCGAUUGAAUUUGUUUACAUACCACAAUAUAAACUAUUUUGGAGUGUAAUUACAACCGCGAUUGCAAGUGCAAUUUACAACAACAUUCGUGACCCAACCAUAAACCAUAUACUCUUUUACCCUUCUCCUUAGGCUGAUGAAAUAGCUUGAACUCGAAGAGGUUGGACCCUCUUUAAGGUUAAUCCAAAUUGUUCGUCCAUGUUCAAUUGUUCCGGUAUUAGCCCAUCAGCAAGAUUCCAUUCAAAAUUGUGUAGAAGGGAUGCCACCAUUAAAUGCAUAGUUCUAUGAGCUAAUGGCAAUCCUGGACAAAUUCUUUUGCCAGCUCCAAAGGGUAUAAGCUCAAAAUUAUUACCUUUAUAGUUAAUGUCACACUCCAAAAAUCUUUCAGGUGCAAACAUAUCUGGAUUUUUCCAAAUGGUUGGAUCUCUCCCCAUAGCCCACACAUUGACUAGUACUUGUGCAUUUUUUGGCACAUUAAAGCCUAAUAUGUUCACAAGCUCAUCACAUUUGUGAGGUAACAAUAAUGGAAUUGGUGGGUGCAACCUAAAGGUUUCUUUCACAACUGCUUGUAAGAAAGGUAACUUGAAAAUGUGUGAUUCUUCAAUGGUUUCACCUUUGCCAAUUGUUUGACAUAACUCUUUUCUUACUUUUGUUAAUUUGUCAGGAUUACGUAGUAGCUCUGCAAUAAUCCAUUCAAUUAUGCUUGAUGUUGUGUCAAUCCCAGCAACAAAUAAGUCCUAACAAAACAUGAUUUCCAAAUUUAAUUAUUAAAUAUAGCCUAUGAUAUUAAAAAAACUGAGGAUUAAUGAUUGAAAAAUAAGAAAGUAGUAAAACUUAUUGAUUUAAAUGUAUAUUCAUAGAGUGGUCCAAACCAAAAUUAACCGGAUAUCAAAAUAGUCAAAACAAUCAUUGAUUUAAAUGCAUAUUCAUUGAAUAAGUUGCUAAUUUUUGUGAGUAAUCAAAAUUGAAAGUGACAUGUGCCAAACAAUAUGAGCUAGUGUCUAAAGUGGUCCAAACAAAAACUAACCAGAUAUCAAAAGUCAAAAAAUGUUAUGAAAAAAUCAACACUAACCAGAAACAGAUGCACCAUCUCACUGCGGCUCAAUUCCGAAGUUGCUUCUCCAAUAUUAAUAUUAAGAAGUGAAUCUAACACAUCAUUGCAAACCUCAACAACUUUGGAGGAUCUUGAACGAAUUCUUUCUUCAAUAAUUCCAUCAAAAAUCUCACACAACUUCUUCAUAUGAUUGGUCAUCCUUGCAUACAAACCUUGUGGAUCUAAGGGACGAAGAAUUGGAAAGAAAUCUGAAAUAUUAGGCUUACCAGCUUCUUCCAUGAUACCCCAAAUAAUGGUCUUAAAUUCUUGAGACUUCUCAUCAGGUACUGUGGAAUGUGCCAAAUCCAUAGAGAACAAAGUGUUUGAAAUUGAAUUAAGGACAUUUGUAAAAACAGCUUCACCAAUAUCAAAAACCUCACCUUUGUUACUUUUUUCAUUCACAUAAUCUAAUAAUUCUUGCAACUUUUGUUGGCGAAGGUUUCUUGUUGAGUCAAGCAUUUUUGUAGAAAAUACUUUUGUAGCACAACUUUUCCUUAGUUUCUUCCACAAAUUUAAUGUUGGAACCCACCCAACUGAGAAUUUGUCAUGAUCAACUGCAGAGAUUGCAUGUGGGACAGUUCU
Molecule: long non-coding RNA, 24354 nt
Filed under: Medicago truncatula (barrel medic)
Lineage: Eukaryota; Viridiplantae; Streptophyta; Magnoliopsida; Fabales; Fabaceae
Description: long non-coding RNA (MTRU_LNC005302)
Source: RNAcentral